Molecule: long non-coding RNA, 206 nt
Filed under: Mytilus galloprovincialis (Mediterranean mussel)
Lineage: Eukaryota; Metazoa; Mollusca; Bivalvia; Mytilida; Mytilidae
Source: RNAcentral
GUGGUAUGGUGGUAUACAGGUUAACUACAUCAAAAGAAACCAUAAUGCUGUCUUUGCCAACUGUUCUGGGAAGAUGGUUCAACAUAUCUAAGUCAUCUCGAACAAAGCUUGGUAUUUGUUUAAGUAUUGGUUUCAAAAGAAUAUCUAGAAAAUUACUUAGUCUAUGUGUUUCACAAGAAGGACCUGCUACAAUUGGUCUCAAUUUC